Long non-coding RNA from Serinus canaria (Common canary), 878 nucleotides. RefSeq lists it as uncharacterized. The record is from RefSeq and is a predicted model, not a curated record. Lineage: Eukaryota; Metazoa; Chordata; Aves; Passeriformes; Fringillidae. The transcript has 2 exons.
UUACAAGUGCUGGGAAUGUGAGAAGAGCUUCAACCAGAGGUCCCACCUAACAGUCCACAUGCGCACUCACACUGGGCAACAGCCCUACAGGUGUGAGGAAUGUGGGAAGAGCUUCAGCGAUCGCUCCAACCUGAACCACCACCGGAGGAUUCACACUGGGGUACGGCCCUACCUAUGUGAGCAAUGUGGGAAGAGCUUCUCCAGGGGGUCUCACUUGUCCCAGCACCAACAGAGGCACUGCUUUUAAGGCAUCCGUUUUUCUGGCAUCUCAGAUGGGACUGGACCCAGCAGCCUCCCUCUGUACCAGAAACAUCUUGCAAGGAACUCUUUCCUGCUGAAGACUUGUAAGAAUUUCCCUGCAGUGACCUGAGGGGUGAGGAACCAUGGUCCAAGGACCCCACAGAAGGUAACAUAAAGGCAGCUCUUUUUGUGGGGUAGUGUGAAAUUGUGUAUUUGUGUGUUUUCAGGAAAAUCAAGACUCUUAGAAACCAAAUUGUGACAUUUUACAGGAUCCCACCUGUUUCGUAAGGUUUGUUAGGCCACUUAUUCUGUCCCAGCGUGGUGUGGAGAGGGAAUUUGCUUUUGGGGUUGUUUCUCAAGAGUUUUUUUUUUUCUCUUUCAUCACUUUUUCUAACUCUUCUGCGGCCAUGGUGAGUGAAGGCAGAGGCGGAAUCCAAAGGCUGAUGUCACUUUUGUAGCUGAAAUCUGAGACCUUUAUACCAACCUUUAAAAUAUGAAUUAUGAAAACACUGGGUGAUUCAUCAGUCACUCUAUUUGCCAAAUGCUUCUAAGAAGGAUCUAUUGGAAUUUUGCAAAGUGUGGAGAAUAACAGAUACUUUAGGAUGGUUUACUGAAUUAAAUUUUAAAAAUACCUUCUG